UUUCAGGCGCGAGAGAAUUCUACAAGAAGGUCAAAACAAAUGCCCCAAUGAUUCUACCUAACAGUGAGUUUGUUUAGGCUAAUGUUUGUAAGUCUAACGUCACCUUACUUUCAAAUGUAAAGAUGACACUCGUUGAUCAAGUGAAUGAUAUGGAAUAAUUGAGAAGUCUGAUGACUCACUGUUCUCUUUCAAUUCUCUGAAACACUUCUAUAAGGUUGUUGGUCGAAAGAACUUCCAGUUGCUUGCAAAAAACGUGCUCGUCGGCAACCAGUUGAUUGUGAGAGGAUCCAUCUAGCCACUUGUGGUGUCUGCUCUGCAGACCUUACAGAGUCUUCUUCCUGCUGGAUGUUGCCAAGUCAUUUCUUACAGCUCCGAGUAUUUGGACUCAUACAAAUGUAAUUUUCUGGGCAUUCACUCCGAAGUACAACUGCCAUCACAUCUGCGAUCUGCAGAAAUGUUUGUCUUAUUGGACAUCACCAGGAAGCAGCCUGCGGGAUUGGGUCGGCAGCAGGAGUUGGCCGUGUUCGACAGCACGAGCAUCGGAGAUUAUAACUUUGCAGUACACGUGUCUAGUUCGAUCCAACAGGAUGAGAAAC
This is a long non-coding RNA of Corticium candelabrum, 596 nucleotides long. RefSeq lists it as uncharacterized. NCBI's taxonomy places the organism in Eukaryota, Metazoa, Porifera, Homoscleromorpha, Homosclerophorida, Plakinidae. The record is from RefSeq and is a predicted model, not a curated record. The transcript has 6 exons.